GAAGGUAUAGCUCAGUGGUAGAGUACAUUCCUAGCAUGCAUGAGGUCCUGGGUUCAAUCCACAGUACCUCCA
RNAcentral lists this transfer RNA (72 nucleotides) under Camelus bactrianus (Bactrian camel). It matches the Rfam family "tRNA". From Rfam's summary of the family: Transfer RNA (tRNA) molecules are approximately 80 nucleotides in length. RNAcentral also lists the same sequence under 1 other name. Lineage: Eukaryota; Metazoa; Chordata; Mammalia; Artiodactyla; Camelidae. The record is from Rfam by way of RNAcentral.